This 633-nucleotide ribosomal RNA is filed under the name uncultured bacterium. RNAcentral describes it as "bacterial SSU rRNA". It matches the Rfam family "Bacterial small subunit ribosomal RNA", at positions 96 to 723 of the family's 1533-position model. The record is from RNAcentral.
CGGCGCACGGGUGCGUAACGCGUAUGCAAUCUGCCCUGUACAGAAGAAUAGCCCUGAUAAAUUGGGAUUAAUGCUUCAUGGUAAUAUGAUAUCGCAUGAUAUUAUAUUUAAAACUCCGGUGGUACAGGAUGGGCAUGCGUAUGAUUAGCUAGAUGGUGAGGUAACGGCUCACCAUGGCGACGAUCAUUAGGGGUCCUGAGAGGGUGAUCCCCCACACUGGUACUGAGACACGGACCAGACUCCUACGGGAGGCAGCAGUGAGGAAUAUUGGGCAAUGGAGGCAACUCUGACCCAGCCAUACCGCGUGAAGGAAGACUGUCCUAUGGAUUGUAAACUUCUUUUAUAUGGGAAGAAUAAGGUCUACGUGUAGACUGAUGACUGUACCAUAUGAAUAAGGACCGGCUAACUCCGUGCCAGCAGCCGCGGUAAUUCGGAGGGUUCAAGCGUUAUCCGGAUUUAUUGGGUUUAAAGGGUCCGUAGGCGGACUAAUAAGUUCAGUGGUGAAAUCCUAUAGCCUCAACUAUAGAACUGCCAUUGAAACUGUUAGUCUUGAAUUUAUUUGGAAGUUGGCGGAAUGAGUGGUGUAGCGGUGAAAUGCAUAGAUAUUACUCAGAACACCGAUUUGCGAAGGCA